UGAGCAAUCUGCCCUUCUCAUCGGAAUAAGCGUUGGAAACGACGUCUAAUGCCGAAUACGACCUCCUUUCGCAUGAUCGGAGGUGGAAAGCUCCGGCGGAGAAGGAUGAGCUCGCGGCCUAUCAGCUAGUUGAUGUGGGUAAUGGCCCACCAAGGCGACGACGGGUAGCCGGCCUGAGAGGGUGACCGGCCACACUGGGACUGAGACACGGCCCAGACCUCCCGUAGGGA
RNAcentral lists this ribosomal RNA (230 nucleotides) under uncultured bacterium. RNAcentral describes it as "partial 16S ribosomal RNA". It matches the Rfam family "Bacterial small subunit ribosomal RNA", at positions 118 to 348 of the family's 1533-position model. The record is from RNAcentral.